AGCCCCCUGUAUCCGUGCUGAGAUUUCGUCAGAGAUUAACCCGUUGGCGCUGAUGAUACUUGCCAAAUAAGAAAAGCG
Molecule: microRNA precursor, 78 nt
Filed under: Trichobilharzia regenti
Lineage: Eukaryota; Metazoa; Platyhelminthes; Trematoda; Strigeidida; Schistosomatidae
Description: mir-3492 microRNA precursor family
Rfam family: mir-3492 microRNA precursor family
Source: Rfam by way of RNAcentral